RNAcentral lists this ribosomal RNA (433 nucleotides) under uncultured bacterium. RNAcentral describes it as "partial 16S ribosomal RNA". It matches the Rfam family "Bacterial small subunit ribosomal RNA", at positions 29 to 507 of the family's 1533-position model. The record is from RNAcentral.
AACGAACGCUGGCGGCAUGCCUAACACAUGCAAGUCGAACGAGACCUUCGGGUCUAGUUGCGCACGGGUGCGUAACGCGUGGGAACCUGCCCUUAGGCUCGGAAUAACUCCCCGAAAGGGGUGCUAAUACCGGCUAAUGUCUUCGGACCAAAGAUUUAUCGCCUUUGGAUGGGCCCGCGUUGGAUUAGCUAGUUGGUAGGGUAAAAGCCUACCAAGGCGACGAUCCAUAGCUGGUCUGAGAGGAUGAUCAGCCACACUGGGACUGAGACACGGCCCAGACUCCUACGGGAGGCAGCAGUGGGGAAUAUUGGACAAUGGGCGAGAGCCUGAUCCAGCAAUGCCGCGUGAGUGAUGAAGGCCUUAGGGUUGUAAAGCUCUUUUACCCGGGAUGAUAAUGACAGUACCGGGAGAAUAAGCUCCGGCUAACUCCGCG